Molecule: ribosomal RNA, 611 nt
Filed under: Vibrio splendidus
Lineage: Bacteria; Pseudomonadati; Pseudomonadota; Gammaproteobacteria; Vibrionales; Vibrionaceae
Description: bacterial SSU rRNA
Rfam family: Bacterial small subunit ribosomal RNA
Source: RNAcentral
GGAGCUCACGCGUUAAGUAGACCGCCUGGGGAGUGCGGUCGCAAGAUUAAAACUCAUAUGAAUUGACGGGGGCCCGCACAAGCGGUGGAGCAUGUGGUUUAAUUCGAUGCAACGCGAAGAACCUUACCUACUCUUGACAUCCAGAGAAGCCAGCGGAGACGCAGGUGUGCCUUCGGGAGCUCUGAGACAGGUGCUGCAUGGCUGUCGUCAGCUCGUGUUGUGAAAUGUUGGGUUAAGUCCCGCAACGAGCGCAACCCUUAUCCUUGUUUGCCAGCGAGUAAUGUCGGGAACUCCAGGGAGACUGCCGGUGAUAAACCGGAGGAAGGUGGGGACGACGUCAAGUCAUCAUGGCCCUUACGAGUAGGGCUACACACGUGCUACAAUGGCGCAUACAGAGGGCACGCAAGCUAGCGAUAGUGAGCGAAUCCCAAAAAAGUGCGUCUGUAGUCCGGAUUGGAGUNUGCAACUCGACUCCAUGAAGUCGGAAUCGCUAGUAAUCGUGNAUCAGAAUGUCACGGUGAAUACGUUCCCGGGCCUUGUACACACCGCCCGUCACACCAUGGGAGUGGGCUGCAAAAGAAGUGGGUAGUUUNNCCUUCGGGGAGGACGCU